GACAGUCACUUUGUUCUUGCAGGUGCCUCCACAGGCUGCCAUUCUGGACAGGACGAACGACACUGCCCCCAGGGUGAAGGGGACUCAGGCCUGAACCCCGCAGCCCGCGUGACAGGCAGGAACCUGGGGACAGGUUACUUGGAGCACUGGAGGACCCCAGUGGAAGGGCCGAGGUUCUCUUCAGAGACAGCUCGAAGGCUCUCAAGAGAGACUGAGGUGCAGACAGAAAACGCCCGCACAGGCGGAGGUCGUUCCUGCCACCUCCCUCCGGUCCCACGGACUGGGGUAUUUCUGAUGCUCCCCAACUCUCAAGUAAUUUGGCCCCUUUUGUUGAAGGGGAGCCUUCCGUAAGAGCAGUCCCUCUGCUGAAGUCUGUCAGGGAGGUCAGCAAAGGGGCAGCAGCCCCUGCAGUCGCAAAGUUCGCAUUGUCACCUUUUAAACCCCUGUCGUCUGCAGGUGGACGGGGCAGGGCUCUGCAGGGGCGCCCCUGGAGGGGCCUGACGCUUGGCCCGUCCCGGCACAGCUGCAGGGCUGUCCCCACGACACCUCCACUACGGCUCAAUCCGAAGGAGGGAGCACUAGUGUGACCUCAAUUUACUGACGGAUACAAAGGGGGAGCUCCGUCCAUUUGCGCCUCUGUCACAGCACUCUCAAGAAGAGAUGCGCCUCAAGAUUCGCAAAGUGCAGCGGGAACCCCAAGUCUCAGCCCAGACUGUCCGUGCACGGCGUAACGACCCUCCCCACCAGAGGGGACCCAGGACCUGAGCUCCGACUCCUGCUGGCACAGGGAAGGGAGGCGGGGCCACCACUGAGGCUGGGUCCGCGACUCCUCUGGGGCCACCCAGACCGGGCGCAGGGCCGGUCCCUCCUCCAGACGGCGGCCGAGGGGACAGCCCGGGAGGGCCGGGGUCCCGGGGCGCCCGCCCCUCCCCCCGCGGCCUGCUCCGAGGCCGACCCGGAACCAGCUCUCCGCGUCCCCCGCUCGCGGAAGCCCCCGAGCCCCAGCGCCGGCGGGGGGUGCGCGGCCACCCGCCCGCGGCCCCGCAACCCCCAAAUGGAGGCCGAGGCUGGAGGGUGCUGCAAAGAUGCUCCGCCCGCCCCGAGGGGGGCCCUGGCGCCGCGCGCGGGGGAGGGGGCGGCGGAGGGGGCGCGCAGGGAGCGAGGGGCUCGCGA
Chinchilla lanigera (long-tailed chinchilla) is the source of this 1173-nucleotide long non-coding RNA. RefSeq lists it as uncharacterized. The transcript is spliced from 3 exons. Lineage: Eukaryota; Metazoa; Chordata; Mammalia; Rodentia; Chinchillidae. The record is from RefSeq and is a predicted model, not a curated record.